RNAcentral lists this ribosomal RNA (261 nucleotides) under uncultured bacterium. RNAcentral describes it as "partial 16S ribosomal RNA". It matches the Rfam family "Bacterial small subunit ribosomal RNA", at positions 333 to 586 of the family's 1533-position model. The record is from RNAcentral.
CGAUGCCUACGGGACGCAGCAGUAGGGAAUCUUCCACAAUGGACGAAAGUCUGAUGGAGCAACGCCGCGUGAGUGAAGAAGGGUUUCGGCUCGUAAAGCUCUGUUGGUAGUGAAGAAAGAUAGAGGUAGUAACUGGCCUUUAUUUGACGGUAAUUACUUAGAAAGUCACGGCUAACUACGUGCCAGCAGCCGCGGUAAUACGUAGGGGGCAAGCGUUGUCCGGGUUUAUUGGGCGUAAAGCGAGUGCAGGCGGGUUCAUUA